GUCGAACGGAGUGCUUGCAUCUGAUUCUUUCGGGAUGAAGAUGCAAGUAUCUCAGUGGCGAACGGGUGAGUAACGCGUGAGAAACCUGCCUUUCACAAAGGGAUAGCCUCGGGAAACUGGGAUUAAUACCAUAUAAAGUUCCAAAUUAGCAUUAAAAAGGAACCAAAGUGUAAGCGGUGAAAGAUGGUCUCGCGUCCCAUUAGCUAGUUGGUGAGAUAAAAGCUCACCAAGGCGACGAUGGGUAGCCGGCCUGAGAGGGUGACCGGCCACACUGGAACUGAGACACGGUCCAGACUCCUACGGGAGGCAGCAGUGGGGAAUAUUGCACAAUGGAGGGAACUCUGAUGCAGCGACGCCGCGUGAGCGAAGAAGGCUUUCGAGUCGUAAAGCUCUGUCCUAGGGGACGAUAAUGACGGUACCCAAGGAGGAAGCCCCGGCUAACUACGUGCCAGCAGCCGCGGUAAUACGUAGGGGGCGAGCGUUGUCCGGAAUUAUUGGGCGUAAAGGGUUCGCAGGCGGCCUAUUAAGUCAGAUGUGAAAUCCCAUGGCUUAACCAUGGUAAGCAUUUGAAACUGGAAGGCUUGAGUUAAGGAGAGGAAAGUGGAAUUCCUAGUGUAGCGGUGGAAUGCGUAGAUAUUAGGAGGAAUACCAGUGGCGAAGGCGACUUUCUGGACUUUAACUGACGCUGAGGAACGAAAGCGUGGGUAGCAAACAGGAUUAGAUACCCUGGUAGUCCACGCCGUAAACGAUGAGUGCUAGGUGUUGGGGGUCAAACCUCGGUGCCGCAGCUAACGCAUUAAGCACUCCGCCUGGGGAGUACGUACGCAAGUAUGAAACUCAAAGGAAUUGACGGGGACCCGCACAAGCAGCGGAGCAUGUGGUUUAAUUCGAAGCAACGCGAAGAACCUUACCAGGGCUUGACAUGCCUCUGGUCGUUCUAGAGAUAGAGCUUUCCCUUCGGGGACAGAGGACACAGGUGGUGCAUGGUUGUCGUCAGCUCGUGUCGUGAGAUGUUGGGUUAAGUCCCGCAACGAGCGCAACCCUUGUCUUUAGUUGCAAACAGUUAAAGCUGAGCACUCUAGAGAGACUGCCGAUGAUAAAUCGGAGGAAGGUGGGGAUGACGUCAAAUCAUCAUGCCCUUUAUGUCCUGGGCUACACACGUGCUACAAUGGUCGGUACAACGAGAAGCGACCUAGCGAUAGGAAGCAAAUCUUAAAAAGCCGAUCCCAGUUCGGAUUGCAGGCUGCAACUCGCCUGCAUGAAGUCGGAGUUGCUAGUAAUCGCGAAUCAGAAUGUCGCGGUGAAUGCGUUCCCGGGUCUUGUACACACCGCCCGUCACACCAUGGGAGUUGGAAAUGCCCGAAGCCAGUGAGCUAACCGUAAGGAAGCAGCU
RNAcentral lists this ribosomal RNA (1393 nucleotides) under uncultured prokaryote. RNAcentral describes it as "bacterial SSU rRNA". It matches the Rfam family "Bacterial small subunit ribosomal RNA". The record is from RNAcentral.